GGGGCCCAGAGUCCCUCCCCUCGCUGGGCCCCGGUCCCGCCGGCGUCUAUAACGCCGUCGCAGCGGCCUUUAACCCCGCCUCUCACUCGAGCCCUGCCCGCGUCCAAGUCCCGCCCUCAAGGCGGCCUCAGCUACGACCGCCGCGCGCCUCCCUGGAGGCGCCCGCUCCUGCCCGGAGCCCUGCCCGUCUUGGGCCCGCCCUUCCGGGCCCUGCCGCGUUGAGUGGCGGAGUCGGGAUCCAGGUGGCCCGCCGGCCGGCUCAGUCCACCUCCCCGCUCCCGGCCUCGCGCCCCACCCCUUGGAUGAGAAAACUGAAACUGAGAGGGGACGUGACUGAUCCAACGCCCAACCCAGAGCUGGAUCACAAGGAAGACUGGAAGCUCCACUCCCCCAUGGAGCUUCCCUGUUACCAGAGGACACAAACACACAUCUGCAUGUUGAUCUGAGAGCCCUGUGUGGAGAGGAACUAGGCCCCCAGCCAACAACCAGCAGUGACUCACUGUGAGAGAGUGAAUCAUCUUGGAAGUGGAUCCUAAGCCCCAAUAGAGACUUCAGAUGAAACUGCAACCCUGGCUGACAUCUGACUGCAGUGGCAUAAGAAACCCUUAUGUCAGAAUCACCCUGCAAAGCCCAAAUUCUUGACCCACCAAGUGAAAGAGAAUAAAUGACGAUUGUUGUGUUUGAACUCCCAUGUUUUUGGGUAAUCAGUUCCACGGCAAUAAAUAACUAAUGUACUAGA
This 739-nucleotide long non-coding RNA is filed under the name Homo sapiens (human). Its description in RNAcentral is "HSALNT0353699". Lineage: Eukaryota; Metazoa; Chordata; Mammalia; Primates; Hominidae. The record is from RNAcentral.